Molecule: ribosomal RNA, 119 nt
Filed under: Salix viminalis (osier)
Lineage: Eukaryota; Viridiplantae; Streptophyta; Magnoliopsida; Malpighiales; Salicaceae
Source: RNAcentral
GGGUGCGAUCAUACCAGUAUUAAUGCACCGGAUCCCAUCAGAACUCCGCAGUUAAACGUGCUUGGACGAGAGUAGUACUAGGAUGGGUGAUCUCCUGGGAAGUCCUCGUGUUGCACCCU